RNAcentral lists this ribosomal RNA (443 nucleotides) under uncultured bacterium. RNAcentral's name for it is "partial 16S ribosomal RNA". It matches the Rfam family "Bacterial small subunit ribosomal RNA", at positions 338 to 795 of the family's 1533-position model. The record is from RNAcentral.
CCUACGGGUGGCAGCAGUGGGGAAUAUUGGACAAUGGGGGGAACCCUGAUCCAGCGACGCCGCGUGAGUGAAGAAGUAUUUCGGUAUGUAAAGCUCUAUCAACAGGGAAGAAAGGAAUGACGGUACCUGACUAAGAAGCCCCGGCUAACUACGUGCCAGCAGCCGCGGUAAUACGUAGGGGGCAAGCGUUAGCCGGAUUUACAGGGUGUAAAGGGAGAGUAGACGGUUACGUAAGUCUGGAGUGAAAGGCGGGGGCCCAACCCCCGGACUGCUUUUGAAACUGUAUAGCUGGAGUGCAGGAGAGGUAAGUGGAAUUCCUAGUGUAGCGGUGAAAUGCGUAGAUAUUAGGAGGAACACCAGUGGCGAAGGCGGCUUACUGGACUGUAACUGACGUUGAGGCUCGAAAGCGUGGGGAGCAAACAGGAUUAGAUACCCUAGUAGUC